CCUACGGGUGGCUGCAGUGGGGGAUAUUGCACAAUGGGGGAAACCCUGAUGCAGCGACGCCGCGUGUGUGAAGACGGUUCUCUGGAUUGUAAACCACUGUCCCCAGGGACGAAGAUGACGGUCCCUGGGGAGGAAGCCCCGGCAAACUCGGGGCCGGCAGCCGCGGUAAUCGGUAGGGGGCAGGCGUUGUCGGGAUUUACGGGGGGUAAAGGGAGCGUAGGCGGGAUGGCAAGUUGGGUGGUAAAUCUACCGGCUAAACUGGUAGUCGCACUCGAAACUGCUAUUCUUGAGUGAAGUAGAGGCAGGCGGAAUUCCUAGUGUAGCGGUGAAAUGCGUAGAUAUUAGGAGGAACACCAGUGGCGAAGGCGGCCUGCUGGGCUUUUACUGACGCUGAGGCUCGAAAGUGUGGGGAGCAAACAGGAUUAGAUACCCGUGUAGUC
This 440-nucleotide ribosomal RNA is filed under the name uncultured bacterium. RNAcentral describes it as "partial 16S ribosomal RNA". It matches the Rfam family "Bacterial small subunit ribosomal RNA", at positions 338 to 795 of the family's 1533-position model. The record is from RNAcentral.